GGUCGAACAGACCUAGUUCUGUUAGCUCCUACACCAACAACCAAUUUUAAUCCAACAUCGAGGUCGCAAUCUAUUCUUUCGAUAAGAACUCUAAAAAUAAUUACGCUGUUAUCCCUAARGUAAUUUCUUCUUUUAAUCUAAACAAAGGAUCACUCACCUAUAAACUAAUAAAUAAUAUUUAAAAAAGUUUCCCUAAUUUUACUAUCACCCCAACCAAAUAAACAAAAAUAACCUAGAACAAAGAUACCAAAACACUAUAAUAUUAUUUACCUAUAAAACUCUAUAGGGUCUUCUCGUCUUCCAUAAAUAUUUAAGCUUUUUCACUCAAAAAUAAAAUUCUAACAAACUUUUCUAGAGACAGCAAUUUUCUCAUAAAACCUUUCAUUCAAGCUUUCAAUUAAAAAACUAGUUAUUAUGCUACCUUUGCACAGUCAAUAUACUGCGGCCAUUUAAUAAAAUCAGUGGGCAGGUAAGACUUGAAAUAAAAAUCAACAAGCCAUGUUUU
This 505-nucleotide ribosomal RNA is filed under the name Trigonopterus bawangensis. RNAcentral describes it as "partial 16S ribosomal RNA". Lineage: Eukaryota; Metazoa; Arthropoda; Insecta; Coleoptera; Curculionidae. The record is from RNAcentral.